This 497-nucleotide ribosomal RNA is filed under the name uncultured bacterium. RNAcentral's name for it is "partial 16S ribosomal RNA". It matches the Rfam family "Bacterial small subunit ribosomal RNA", at positions 28 to 507 of the family's 1533-position model. The record is from RNAcentral.
GAUGAACGCUGGCGGCGUGCCUAAUACAUGCAAGUCGAGCGAACAGACGAGGAGCGUGCUCCUCUGACGUUAGCGGCGGACGGGUGAGUAACACGUGGAUAACCUACCGAUAAGACUGGGAUAACUUCGGGAAACCGGAUCUAAUACCCGAUAAUAUAUUGAACCGCAUGGUUCAAUAGUGAAAGACGGUUUUGCUGUCACUUAUAGAUGGAUCCGAGUCGCAUUAGCUAGUUGGUAAGGUAACGGCUUACCAAGGCUACGAUGCGUAGCCGACCUGAGAGGUUGAUCAGCCACACUGGAACUGAGACACGGUCCAGACUCCUACGGGAGGCAGCAGUAGGGAAUCUUGCGCAAUGGGGGAAAGCCUGACGGAGCAACGCCGCGUGAGUGAUGAAGGUCUUCGGAUCGUAAAGCUCUGUUAGUAGGGACGAACAAAUGUGUAAGUAACUAGGCACGUCUUGACGGUACCUGAUCAGAAAGCCACGGCUAACUACGUG